AUUGAACGCUGGCGGCAUGCCUUACACAUGCAAGUCGAACGGUAACGCGGGGCAACCUGGCGACGAGUGGCGAACGGGUGAGUAAUGCAUCGGAACGUGCCCAGUAGUGGGGGAGUAGCCCGGCGAAAGCCGGAUUAAUACCGCAUACGACCUACGGGUGAAAGACGGGGGACCGGUAAGGCCUCGCGCUAUUGGAGCGGCCGAUGUCAGAUUAGGUAGUUGGUGGGGUAAAGGCCUACCAAGCCUACGAUCUGUAGCUGGUCUGAGAGGACGACCAGCCACACUGGGACUGAGACACGGCCCAGACUCCUACGGGAGGCAGCAGUAGGGAAUAUUGGACAAUGGGGGGAACCCGUGAUCCAGCCAUGCCGCGUGAGGGAAGAAGGUCCUCUGGA
RNAcentral lists this ribosomal RNA (395 nucleotides) under uncultured bacterium. Its description in RNAcentral is "bacterial SSU rRNA". It matches the Rfam family "Bacterial small subunit ribosomal RNA", at positions 29 to 422 of the family's 1533-position model. The record is from RNAcentral.